CAAGAAGUUGAACAGAUCCCGCCGGCUCGCGAACUUCGAUCGUCUUCAAAUUAAAACUGAAGUUGAUUUUUUAUUAAUUUUUCCCUUUUUCUUGUCUCAGAUGUCAAAAUCACUUCGAAAAAGAUUCUUUAAUUCCACAUCAAUGGCGAGCGAUAAUCAUAGCUUGCUAUGAAAACGAUUUGUGUAGUGGAUGUCUGUCAUGUGUUUUGCGGAAUUUUCUCAACAAGCUUUGAUUAACAAUGGCGAAUUCGGUCGGGACAAUUUGAAAUUCAAGAUUGCUGUUGCCAAUGGAGUUAAAUUACUAUGUUAAUCCAUCGAAAUCGAGAAAGUUGGGGAACAAUCGUGUUGUUGGUGCUGCAAUAUAGGUACUCUAGGACUAGGCCUGCUUUAUUAUCCUUAGCAUGCUGGAUCAUGUCCGCCAUGGAAGCUACACGAACGAACUUUGUGACCUUUAUCUUCUUGCAAUGUCCCAUAUCUGGUGGAUUUUUCCCGGCAUCUCGUCAAGGAGUCUAAUUCUUCGUCAAUGGGAGUUGAAAAGCGAACAGCUUUAUAGUUUGCGAUUGAGGAACAUCCACUGUGAGAUGAGAUGACUGGUUCAUUCCCUGGAAAUUAGUUGAAGGGUCAGCAAUCAAAGGACAUAAAAAGGAAGUGAUCUUGAACGACAAUUCAUUAAACUAAGUCUAAAGAGUCUGCAGAAGAGGCAUAAAGCCAUGCUGUUCUCUAAUUGUUUGACAUUAUUUUGCUGCCUUCCUUGCACACAGGGAAGGAAGCUGGAUUCAACUUUUAAUUACUUCUUCCCGUUUGAGUUUGAAACAAGAAGAACGCUGUACCUCAGAAAUGGAUGACGGGUGAUUCUUUGAGAAAUUCAGAACCUUCCUCACGUAUGGCUGUGUGGAUUGCAUGUGCAAAGACGUUAUUGGUGUUUUUGCCUACCAAGUCUUCGGCUUUGAUCGACUCCAUUUCCCAAUCUGUAUUGAAGACCACAA
Long non-coding RNA from Benincasa hispida (wax gourd), 986 nucleotides. RefSeq lists it as uncharacterized. The record is from RefSeq and is a predicted model, not a curated record. NCBI's taxonomy places the organism in Eukaryota, Viridiplantae, Streptophyta, Magnoliopsida, Cucurbitales, Cucurbitaceae.